Molecule: transfer RNA, 72 nt
Filed under: Bos taurus (domestic cattle)
Lineage: Eukaryota; Metazoa; Chordata; Mammalia; Artiodactyla; Bovidae
Also listed under: 5 other names
Rfam family: tRNA
About the family: Transfer RNA (tRNA) molecules are approximately 80 nucleotides in length. Their secondary structure includes four short double-helical elements and three loops (D, anti-codon, and T loops). Further hydrogen bonds mediate the characteristic L-shaped molecular structure. tRNAs have two regions of fundamental functional importance: the anti-codon, which is responsible for specific mRNA codon recognition, and the 3' end, to which the tRNAs corresponding amino acid is attached (by aminoacyl-tRNA synthetases). tRNAs cope with the degeneracy of the genetic code in two manners: having more than one tRNA (with a specific anti-codon) for a particular amino acid; and 'wobble' base-pairing, i.e. permitting non-standard base-pairing at the 3rd anti-codon position.
Source: Rfam by way of RNAcentral
UCCCUGGUGGCUCAGCUGAUAAAGAAUCUGCCUACAAUGCAGGAGACCCAGGUUCAAUCCCUGGUUCGGGAA